GGGGGGGGGGGGGGGGGGGGGGGGGGCGGGGGGGGCGGGGGGAGGGGGCACGGCUGGCUGUGGUACGCGGGUGGCGAACGGGUGGGUGGCACGGGGGGGAUCUGCCCUGUCCUUCGGGGUAAGCGUGGGGAACUGGGGCUAAUACCGGAUAGGCAUCACAUGUGGGUGUGUGGUUGGAAAGCUUUUGCGGUAUGGGAUGAGCUCGCGGCCUAUCAGCUUGUUGGUGGGGUAAUGGCCUACCAAGGCGUCGACGGGUAGCCGGCCUGAGAGGGUGUACGGCCACAUUGGGACUGAGAUACGGACCAGACUCCUACGGGAGGCAGCAGUGGGGAAUAUUGCACAAUGGGCGCAAGCCUGAUGCAGCGACGCCGCGUGGGGGAUGACGGCCUUCGGGUUGUAAACUCCUUUCGUCAGGGACGAAGCGAAAGUGACGGUACCUGGAUAAGAAGCACCGGCUAACUACGUG
Molecule: ribosomal RNA, 466 nt
Filed under: uncultured bacterium
Lineage: Bacteria
Description: partial 16S ribosomal RNA
Rfam family: Bacterial small subunit ribosomal RNA (bases 50-466)
Source: RNAcentral